This 207-nucleotide unclassified non-coding RNA is filed under the name soil metagenome. RNAcentral's name for it is "partial contains 5.8S ribosomal RNA, internal transcribed spacer 2, and large subunit ribosomal RNA". The record is from RNAcentral.
AACCAUAGAAACCUGCGGAGUACCUGCGGAAGGAUCAUUACCGAGUUUACAACUCCCAAACCCCUGUGGACAUACCAAUUGUUGCCUCGGCGGAUCAGCCCGCUCCCGGUAAAACGGGACGGCCCGCCAGAGGACCCCUAAACUCUGUUUCUAUAUGUAACUUCUGAGUAAAACCAUAAAUAAAUCAAAACUUUCAACAACGGAUCU